AGCAUCCGUAGCCGGUCGCAUAAGUUUUCGGUUAAAUCUAUGCGCUCAACGUAUAGGCCGCCGAAAAUACUGUGCAGCUAGGGAGUGGGAGAGGUACACGGUACUCGGUAGGAAGGGGUAAAAUCCUUUGAUCUAUUGAUGACCACCUGUGGCGAAGGCGGUGUACCAGAACACGUUCGACGGUGAGGGAUGAAAGCUAGGGGAGCAAACCGGAUUAGAUACCCGGGUAGUCCCAGCUGUAAACGAUGCAGACUCGGUGAUGCAUUGGCUUGUGGCCAAUGCAGUGCCGCAGGGAAGCCGUUAAGUCUGCCGCCUGGGAAGUACGUACGCAAGUAUGAAACUUAAAGGAAUUGGCGGGGGAGCACAAGCC
This 370-nucleotide ribosomal RNA is filed under the name uncultured Nitrososphaerota archaeon. RNAcentral describes it as "bacterial SSU rRNA". It matches the Rfam family "Archaeal small subunit ribosomal RNA", at positions 514 to 884 of the family's 1478-position model. The record is from RNAcentral. Lineage: Archaea; Thermoproteati; Nitrososphaerota.